This 468-nucleotide ribosomal RNA is filed under the name uncultured bacterium. RNAcentral describes it as "partial 16S ribosomal RNA". It matches the Rfam family "Bacterial small subunit ribosomal RNA", at positions 28 to 507 of the family's 1533-position model. The record is from RNAcentral.
GACGAACGCUGGCGGCGUGCUUAACACAUGCAAGUCGAACGGAAAGGCCCUGCUUUUGUGGGGUGCUCGAGUGGCGAACGGGUGAGUAACACGUGAGUAACCUGCCCUUGACUUUGGGAUAACUUCAGGAAACUGGGGCUAAUACCGGAUAGGAGCUCCUGCUGCAUGGUGGGGGUUGGAAAGUUUCGGCGGUUGGGGAUGGACUCGCGGCUUAUCAGCUUGUUGGUGGGGUAGUGGCUUACCAAGGCUUUGACGGGUAGCCGGCCCGAGAGGGUUACCGGCCACAUUGGGACUAAGAUACGGCCCAGACUCCUACGGGAGGCAGCGGUGGGGAAUAUUGCACAAUGGGCGGAAGCCUGAUGCAGCAACGCCGCGUGCGUGAUGACGGCCUUCGGGUUGUAAACCGCUUUCGCCUGUGACGAAGCGUGAGUGACGGUAAUGGGUAAAGAAGCACCGGCUAACUACGUG